RNAcentral lists this transfer RNA (73 nucleotides) under Clavelina lepadiformis (light-bulb sea squirt). RNAcentral describes it as "tRNA-Leu2". Lineage: Eukaryota; Metazoa; Chordata; Ascidiacea; Aplousobranchia; Clavelinidae. The record is from RNAcentral.
UUUCAUGUAGGAUAAUGUAAUCCAGUAACUUUAGGAGUUACAAAUAACUAAUAUAUAUAUAUGUUUUUGAAAA